This 504-nucleotide long non-coding RNA is filed under the name Homo sapiens (human). Its description in RNAcentral is "HSALNT0055156". Lineage: Eukaryota; Metazoa; Chordata; Mammalia; Primates; Hominidae. The record is from RNAcentral.
UUUACCACUUCAAACCGGAAAGGUGUUGCAACAUAACAGUUUUAAUUGCUAAACCCUAGCUGCAAACCCAAAUCUCUGGAUUUAAUAAGAAUUGGGUGUGAAAGACUGUGAACAGUGGCAGUUUUCUGCCAGGUUUACCUUCUUUCCUGCUCUUGGUUGAGAUUUGCGGACCUUUGUAUCCACUGUGGUCUCCUUGGAACAAGCAACUGGAAAUUCUUCACACCAGCUAUGGCUGGUAGGAAUUUCGGGCCACAACUCAGAGUCAUAAUGGUGAAGAGGAUGGUGACAUCCAAGGACAACCACAGGGCCUCUCUCCUGACACUGGUGAGAACCAGAUUCCUUUCCCUGGUUCUGUAGCUCCCAGCAGAGUUUUGGAAGCUGAUUAAAGAGAAUGUUGGAAAUAACAGGCAAUUAGAAACCUUAUUAAAAAAAGGAAAAACACUCUCAUCAAACUUGCCAAAGCGUCUUAAUGGCUGGAUGUGGAGGAGGCAUUGGAAACUGCUG